This 987-nucleotide ribosomal RNA is filed under the name Salmonella enterica. RNAcentral's name for it is "partial 23S ribosomal RNA". It matches the Rfam family "Bacterial large subunit ribosomal RNA", at positions 1956 to 2925 of the family's 2925-position model. The record is from RNAcentral. Lineage: Bacteria; Pseudomonadati; Pseudomonadota; Gammaproteobacteria; Enterobacterales; Enterobacteriaceae.
GUAGCGAAAUUCCUUGUCGGGUAAGUUCCGACCUGCACGAAUGGCGUAAUGAUGGCCAGGCUGUCUCCACCCGAGACUCAGUGAAAUUGAACUCGCUGUGAAGAUGCAGUGUACCCGCGGCAAGACGGAAAGACCCCGUGAACCUUUACUAUAGCUUGACACUGAACAUUGAGCCUUGAUGUGUAGGAUAGGUGGGAGGCUUUGAAGUGUGGACGCCAGUCUGCAUGGAGCCGACCUUGAAAUACCACCCUUUAAUGUUUGAUGUUCUAACGUGGACCCGUUACCCGGGUUGCGGACAGUGUCUGGUGGGUAGUUUGACUGGGGCGGUCUCCUCCUAAAGAGUAACGGAGGAGCACGAAGGUUGGCUAAUCCUGGUCGGACAUCAGGAGGUUAGUGCAAUGGCAUAAGCCAGCUUGACUGCGAGCGUGACGGCGCGAGCAGGUGCGAAAGCAGGUCAUAGUGAUCCGGUGGUUCUGAAUGGAAGGGCCAUCGCUCAACGGAUAAAAGGUACUCCGGGGAUAACAGGCUGAUACCGCCCAAGAGUUCAUAUCGACGGCGGUGUUUGGCACCUCGAUGUCGGCUCAUCACAUCCUGGGGCUGAAGUAGGUCCCAAGGGUAUGGCUGUUCGCCAUUUAAAGUGGUACGCGAGCUGGGUUUAGAACGUCGUGAGACAGUUCGGUCCCUAUCUGCCGUGGGCGCUGGAGAACUGAGGGGGGCUGCUCCUAGUACGAGAGGACCGGAGUGGACGCAUCACUGGUGUUCGGGUUGUCAUGCCAAUGGCACUGCCCGGUAGCUAAAUGCGGAAGAGAUAAGUGCUGAAAGCAUCUAAGCACGAAACUUGCCCCGAGAUGAGUUCUCCCUGAGACUUUAGGUCUCCUGAAGGAACGUUGAAGACGACGACGUUGAUAGGCCGGGUGUGUAAGCGCAGCGAUGCGUUGAGCUAACCGGUACUAAUGAACCGUGAGGCUUAACCUUACAACGCCGAAG